This 278-nucleotide ribosomal RNA is filed under the name uncultured Latescibacterota bacterium. Its description in RNAcentral is "uncultured Latescibacteria bacterium partial 16S ribosomal RNA". It matches the Rfam family "Bacterial small subunit ribosomal RNA", at positions 1105 to 1382 of the family's 1533-position model. Lineage: Bacteria; Pseudomonadati; Candidatus Latescibacterota. The record is from RNAcentral.
UUAUCCCCAGUUGCCAUCAGGUAAAGCUGGGAACGUCUGGGGAGACUGCCGGUGAUAACCGGAGGAAGGCGGGGAUGACGUCAAGUCCUCAUGGCCCUUACAUCCCGGGCUACACACGUGCUACAAUGGCAGGUACAGAGGGCUGCGAAGCCGCGAGGUGGAGCGAAUCCCAGAAAACCUGUCUCAGUCCGGAUUGAAGUCUGCAACUCGACUUCAUGAAGGCGGAAUCGCUAGUAACCGCGAAUCAGCAGGUCGCGGUGAAUACGUUCCCGGGCCUU